Molecule: ribosomal RNA, 119 nt
Organism: Corchorus capsularis
Lineage: Eukaryota; Viridiplantae; Streptophyta; Magnoliopsida; Malvales; Malvaceae
Source: Rfam
UGUUGCGAUCAUACCAGCACUAAUGCACCGGAUCCCAUCAGAACUCCGCAGUUAAGCGUGCUUGGGCGAGAGUAGUACUAGGAUGGGUGACUACCUGGGAAGUCGUCAUCUUGCACCCC